AUCAUGGGUUCUUCUCUUCCUUAUUUAGCCAUGAAUUUUGUCUCCUUCUUUUUCUUCGUGAAUUGCUAUUGUUGAGCAUGGGAGUUGGAAAUUUCUCUCCUCUUAUUUUUCUGUUUUGUUGUGCUGUGUGGUGAGAAGUUCUGAACCCUUUUCCUUCUCUUUGAAGAUCCUGUGCGGGUGUGGGUGUGUUGGUGAAAUUGUGCUGAACCUAUGUGUAUGCAUGAUGAAUGGUUGAAAUUGCAAAUUUUUCUGGAAUUCUUUUGCUGCCCGUGCUGUGUAGGGAAGAAGGAAAUUGAAAUUUAAGCUGGAAAAUUUAUAUUAAAUUUUGUUAAUGAUAUACAUGUACCUGAUUUUUGAGUUAAAUUGAUUUUUUUUAUUUGGAUUGGUUAAUGAUUAAUGAAUUGAUUAGGAUGAGAUUGGGAUAGAAGAAUUUAGAUAUGAAACUUGUAGGUUGGUGACUGUAAGAUAUUUGUUAAAAUACUUGUUAGAAGGAAUUAUUUGAUUGUGUAUUUUCUAAAAAUUUCAUGAAAUUUUAUUGAGAAACAUAAAUGGUUUGGAUGUUGUUAUCUUGUAAAUUGAAAUUGACACUGUAUAAAAAUUUGAUUAUUAAAAUAAUGUGUCACUAGUUGGAUUCUUUGGAAUUAUUGAGUUGAGAAAUUUUGGGUUGAGAUUGUGAAAUUUUUUCUUCUUUCUUUGCUGCCAUGAGGAAUGUGGAUGAUGAGGAUUUGAUUUUCUUGAGUAAAGAUUGAUUUUAUCUAUUGAACAAUGGAAUUUGGAAAACUAAUUAAUUAUAUUUAUGUUAGGGAACUGUUGAGAAAUGGAAUUGAGGAGGAAAAUCAUUUGAUCCAAUUAUUAUGGAAACAAAAUAUAUAUAUUUAUAUAUAUUGAAGUUAAGAAUUGUCUACAUUAUUUUCUGAAUUAAUUUGGAUUGAAAGGUACAAAACAAAUAUUUAAAAUAAAAUAACAAUGGUAUUAUUUGGGCAUAAGGAUUUACAGAGCAAACAUUGUUGCAAGAGGAUCGGUUAGGAGUAAAUUAUUUAUUUGAAAAAUUAUCAAGUAAAUGGAUAGCGUUUCAACUGAUUUAUUAAUAAAAUUAUUUUUUUUUAAAUAAUAUAUUUUUAUGUAAAUUAUUUUAAUAACAACUUUGUUAAACUUGAGAUAUUUUGUAAUUUAAAUCUCUUUAUCUUGUGAAAUUAUUUUUAUUAGCUUUAGCAAUUUCUAGUUUCUCAAUAAUACAAGCAUGAAAAUUAGUUAUGAAAUUUUAUUCUGGCAAGUUUUAAUGCUUAAAAACAAUCCAUGUAAGUUUGACUUUAAGAAUGCAAACUGUCUUUUAAGUUUUAAUAGUGAUGAUUUUUUUUGAAUGUUUAAAAAUGAAUUUGGAGAGAAUUUUAUACAGAACACUGGUUGUUAAUGGCAGUUCCAUUGGCUCUUGGUACACCAUGGUCAAUGACUAGUUAGUUUAAUUCUCGUGAGCUCUGUUCUCUUGUCUGUUAUUCGUGAGUCUCGUACUUGCAUCUGUUUCGUGACUUCGACCACGUUUGGUUAGCUACCCUCAUGGACUGUGUGUCCACAUAUAUUUCAUGGCUUCGGUCGCAUCUGGUUACUUACCUUUGUGGAUUGUGUGUCCACAUUUGUUUUCGUGGUAUAAGCCGCGUUUGGUUAUUUAUCUUCGUAGACUGUGUGUCCACGUCUGUUAAUUAUUCUGACAAGUCCCUAUAAUCAUAAAUUAGAUUAUUUGGUGAUUUCUCAGUUUUUUAAAGUAAUUUAUUUAUAAUUAUUUAUUUUGUUUAUUUGCUUUCUUGAAAUGAAGUGACAAUAAUAUUUAAUAUGAUUAUUUAAUGGUUCAAAAUUUUAUUUAAAAGUUAUAUAGAGCCAUUUAUUCUGAAGUUUACUAAAAUUUUAUGGAAAUUGUUGUCUCUUUAAUUUAUAUAAUUAUUUUUAGCUUUUCUUUUAUUCAUGUUUAAUUAUUUAUUAUUGGGACAUUAUUCAUUGGAAAUAAUUUUGGUAUGAGAUAGUGUAGCCGACACUGAACUACCUAAUAAGCAUUGAGGAGUCUAUUAUUGAUUAGAAGUGGAAGAGCUCAAGAUUAAGCUUUAUUUUGAUGUAAAGUUUUAAUUAUGAAAUUUAUUUUGUAAACUUAUUUUUAGGUGCUCCACAUAGUUAGUGGCUAGGUUAUUUAUGUUGAUAUAUAUAUUUUGUUUGUUGGUUGGAAUAAGCUUUGCUUCUGACUGAUUUGAUACUUUUGGUUGAAACUUUGUAUUAUAGAAUUUUCGAGAGGUCCUAUUUAUUGGGAAGGUUUUAUCGAAAUUUUUACAAAAUUACUAAAAAUUUUCAUUAAAAAAAAUAUUAAAGGCAUUAAAAAUAUUUCAAUAUAAAUCUAUUUAUGUUUUAUAAAUAAAUAGUAAACAUUAGAUUAAAGUUUCCUUGACCACGGCUUAAGGGAUGCAUGUUUGUACAUAUAUCCUGUGUCAGUCAUGUCUAAUUUUUGGGACAUGACAUUAUCUGGAUUAUUUAUGCUUUACUCUUUAGUUGCUUUUUUUUUUCUUUUCUGGUAAUUCUGCAUUUGGCCUCAUUUUAUUUGGUAAAAUCUGGGCUGGACUUUAAUAGAUGCUUAUGAACUUGUCUCCCGCAGCAUUUAAGACUAUUCAUGAGGCUCCAGUAUUGCCCUGAGUCGGUAAUAUAUGGAAACUCUUGGUAAUUCAUGAGGCUCCAACAAUCUAGGAGUUGCAAUCUGAGUAGGCAUUUGUAAUCCUCUUUUAUCAUUUACUGAUUUAUAUUUAGAUGAGAUUUAUUUAUAAUUCUUCCAAAUAAAUGAUAUAAACGUCUAUUUUUUUCUUCUAACCUUAAGUCAAGUAUAACUGCUUUUUUAACAGUUGAAAACUAACACUUUCCUUUUUCACUUUUGAAUUUUUGGAAAUUGAAAAUGGACAACACCUACCCACUGAGUAGUACUGAUCAAAGCCUGCAACAUCACUUCGGUACUGUCACUCCCACCUUCAAGUUCCAAAUAAGUUUUCCUCUCGUUCUCAUCACAGAGCAAUUCUGUUCAUCUCACUCUUGAAAAUCUGCAAGCCAAGAAUCACCAACUCAACUGCAAGUUCAUCACAGACUACAUUUUUUUUUCUUCUUUGCUUCACCUUUGGGUCGAUCUAUUAGAGGGGGAAAAACACUAAAUGAAGUUACUCUAAUCCUGCACAUGGCUGGGUCAAAAAACAAGAUAUAUACCAGAGCAAGAAAGUUCACAUCUGGUUUGUGAUUGUAUUUUUAUAAUUGAUCUUUCUUAUUUUACUCGAGUAUAAAAAAAUCAUUCUUCUCAUCUUGAUGGUUUUGAAAGAUCCCUCAUUUUUUUUUAAAUGAAAUUUUGAAAUAAUCAUGUGAUGUUGAUAAAAUUUGUGUUUGGUGAAAAUGGUGGAGGUGAAGAACAACCAGUGCAUUAUCAAAUUGAGACUCAGAUAGUCCAUCCUCUCUCGGAAAUACAUUUCAAGCUACAAAAUCUUCCAAAUCUUGUGAUUCUCCAAAUAUGGAACUUAAUGGCCGCAAAUUGAGGAAUGAAGAAUUCAACUCUUUGGCAUCUAUUGAAAGGAUUGAUCUUCAGAAUCGUGGGAUUGAAGGACAAUUUCCAACUUUUCAAUACCUUUAAGAAUUAACCUUGGAAGAAUGUGCAAGAUUGAAAUUUGUUUUCUCUCCUCAGCUCUGUCAAAGUCUUCCAAUGUUAGUUAAGGUAGCCAUAUCUGAUUGUGCGGAAUUGGAGGCAAUUUUUUCAGGCAAUGAAGAGACUGAGAAGGGUCUAUACAUAACUGAAGCCUAUCUGCCAAAAUUGGAAAGUUUGAGAAUCUCUGAUUGCAACAAGCUGAAAUUUAUUUUGUCUUUCAUGAUUAAUGCUGCUACCUUAAUGCUUCCACAACUAAGAACUCUAUCGAUAUUAAAGUCUUCUCAGCUAGAAGAAAUUUUCAGGUGUUCUAAUAUUGAAGAUCAUGAUAUUGAUAGUGAAAUGAAGAUUAUGUUUCCAAACUUGAAAAAUGUAGCACUUCUAUGGCUUCCAAGACUUGUUAAUGUCUGCCAAGUGUUUAAGUUGCAGACAAGGGAAUUUUGCAGAGUUGACGUUUAUGAUUGCCCAAAAUUUAUGCCAAUUCUAGGGGCAACUAUGAUGUGGACUAAAGAUUUUUAAAUGUUGGAGAAGUUGAUAUUCAAAGUCCUAAAGUUGAUCAUGAGUUUGAAGUUAUAGGUGAUGAUGAUGAAGAAGAAACCAAGGACUUGAAAUUGUUAUUGGAACAAGAAAUGCUUGGAGGUCUUGCUCCCACACAAGUUUUGAGCUUCCAAUAUCUGCAUUCCUUAACAAUGAUUGGAUGUAAAAAGUUGAAGUUUUUAUUUUCAGUAAGCACCAUUGUCCAUAACGGCCUUCCCAAGUUAAGUUCCCUAACCUUAUCUAAUUGUGAGGAAUUGGAGGUGAUAUUUGAGCAUAGUAGUAAAGAUGAAGCCAACGUCAGUGAGAAAAUUUUGCUUUCAAGCUUGAGGAACAUAUGGCUUGAAAAUUUGCCUAAUUUGGAUAAUCUUUGUCGAGGAAUCCAGAUUCGAGUUCAACUGAGUGACAUCACCAUAAGAAACUGCCCUAAAUUUCUUGAUUCAAGUUUGGGACCAGUUCUUCAACAGAUGGGAACAGUAUUGGUUUCUACAGAAAGAUCAGAUUUGCAAACUACAGCAGAUGUAGAAGAACGAUUAUCUAUGCAUGAUGAAAAAGGGAUAAUCUUGACGUCAAGAGUAGAAUGUUUGAGGUUGUGGGAUUUGGCCAACCUCUUGUGUGUAUGGGAGGGUCCCAGUUUCAUUAGUUUCCAAAAUCUCUUUUGGCUAAGUGUGAUUAAAUGCAAGAAAUUAAAGUGUCUCUUCCCCAGAGCUGUCAUGAGAGGCCUACCAUGUUUGAAGAUUUUGGAUAUUGCAAAUUGCAAAGAGUUGGAAGAAAUAAUAAUGUCAUCAGAAAGAGAGGAAGAAGAGCCUCUCUUUCCAAAUGCAUCCUCUUCUUCCUUGAUCUGUUUCCCACAACUUGAAUGGCUUAGAGUUGAUGGAUGCGGAUAGUUGAAAUGGCUCUUCCCCUCUACUCAACAUCUUCCACCAUUAGUUGGUUUAGAAAUAAAAGAGUGCUCUCAGCUACAGGGAUUUUUUAAUUCUGAAAUUGAAAUAUUUCACGAGAAAGGGUUCUCCAACAAUGUAAAGUUAAAUAUUUUAAUGUUGUGGAUUGCCCCAUGUUCUCCAAAGCCACGCUCGCUGCUUUUAGGAUGAGCUUGGGUUGGUAUAGACCUGUGUGAGAUUGUGCCUGCGUCCAGUUCUUGUAAUUAUGUAUUAAGGAGUUGCAAUCUGUAAUGUGAUAAUUGGCUUCCAAAUAUUUGUAUAGUUCAUUUUCACAUAAAUUAAGGCACGUUGCAUGCAUUGAUUGACA
RNA transcript from Prosopis cineraria, 5431 nucleotides. RefSeq lists it as uncharacterized. The record is from RefSeq and is a predicted model, not a curated record. NCBI's taxonomy places the organism in Eukaryota, Viridiplantae, Streptophyta, Magnoliopsida, Fabales, Fabaceae. The transcript has 5 exons.